ACGGCUUGGGUCAAAAUAAAACAGAACAUCCUGAGGAUAUAACGAGCAAUUUGGAAAAAUAAAUUUGUUGGUUUCUUAUACGGUUGCGAAGCCUUAGAAAUAAAAAGAAAAACAGUGUUCGGGGAGAUAACUCUUAUUUGGGAAAGUAUUCGGUUAAGCAGAGUUGGUUUCAAAAGCGUAUAAACUGUUCGAUAUCAUAUUCCAAAAAUCUAAGCGACAUCUUGUGAAACAAAAAA
RNAcentral lists this long non-coding RNA (236 nucleotides) under Mytilus galloprovincialis (Mediterranean mussel). Lineage: Eukaryota; Metazoa; Mollusca; Bivalvia; Mytilida; Mytilidae. The record is from RNAcentral.